CACUACUUCAGUGAGGCCUCUGACCUGCUGAACCAGCAGGUCGAACUACUCCAUACCGACCACCAUUGUCGGAGGAGGAGCCUAAAAAACUAGAGGUGAGGCUGGAGCUUGAGAUCUGACCGCGGAGGUCGUGGAUCGUCUGGUAGAUGCCUUUCGGGGAGGCAUCAGGUGGAGAUCUAAUAGGAGAAGGGGAGGAGGAU
Molecule: long non-coding RNA, 200 nt
Filed under: Elaeis guineensis (African oil palm)
Lineage: Eukaryota; Viridiplantae; Streptophyta; Magnoliopsida; Arecales; Arecaceae
Description: long non-coding RNA (EGUI_LNC078217)
Source: RNAcentral